Cinara cedri is the source of this 575-nucleotide non-coding RNA. The record is from the annotation of a GenBank genome assembly. Lineage: Eukaryota; Metazoa; Arthropoda; Insecta; Hemiptera; Aphididae.
CACACGUAUUUUUCAAUCAUUUUUUUUCUGUAUUAAGAAAAGCGGUGAUGGCCGGUUGUUUCAAUAAGUUAUUUUCACAGUUAUUCAACAAGAAGGUUUCCGUCUCGCCUAAAUAUAGAAGUACGUUUUCCGAGUCAUCAGUUGCAGUGAGUACCUGUUAUUGAUUGUACAUUACACGCGAGUUAAGGAAGUGAUGGUGAGUAUAAUCUUCCAUUGGUUGAUCAUCCUUUGGAACAUCUGGUUCAUCAUUAAUUGUAGUCUGGUUGAUAAUUUCUUCAAGAUCGAAAGUUUCGCUCGUUAUCAAGUGGUCGUCAAUGGAUGUUCAUCAUUUUCACUGUCGUAUUUAACUUGAUUUUUUCAAUAUUGAAAUGUACGAUAGGCUAGAAAAGAGAGCGCGUUACGUAUUAAGCGGGAGCUUAUUAAGCGUGUUUUUUGUCAAUGUUAAAAGACCUACAGGUCCCGGAAAAAUUCUACGUAUUAAGCAGGAGCGUCUCAAUAUAUUAUGAUUUUAUCAACAGCUAAAAACUCAUCAGGUCGAAUUGAUUCAAAUGAAUUUCGUAUGACAUCAAUUAAAC